RNAcentral lists this ribosomal RNA (468 nucleotides) under uncultured bacterium. RNAcentral's name for it is "partial 16S ribosomal RNA". It matches the Rfam family "Bacterial small subunit ribosomal RNA", at positions 28 to 507 of the family's 1533-position model. The record is from RNAcentral.
GACGAACGCUGGCGGCGUGCUUAACAUAUGCAAGUCGAACGGAAAGGCCCUGCUUUUGUGGGGUGCUCGAGUGGCGAACGGGUGAGUAACACGUGAGUAACCUGCCCUUGACUUUGGGAUAACUUCAGGAAACUGGGGCUAAUACCGGAUAGGAGCUCCUGCUGCAUGGUGGGGGUUGGAAAGUUUCGGCGGCUGGGGAUGGACUCGCGGCUUAUCAGCUUGUUGGUGGGGUAGUGGCUUACCAAGGCUUUGACGGGUAGCCGGCCUGAGAGGGUGACCGGCCACAUUGGGACUGAGAUACGGCCCAGACUCCUACGGGAGGCAGCAGUGGGGAAUAUUGCACAAUGGGCGGAAGCCUGAUGCAGCAACGCCGCGUGCGGGAUGACGGCCUUCGGGUUGUAAACCGCUUUCGCCUGUGACGAAGCGUGAGUGACGGUAAUGGGUAAAGAAGCACCGGCUAACUACGUG